Molecule: RNA transcript, 769 nt
Organism: Homo sapiens (human)
Lineage: Eukaryota; Metazoa; Chordata; Mammalia; Primates; Hominidae
Gene: INGX
Gene name: inhibitor of growth family, X-linked (pseudogene)
Exons: 1
Source: RefSeq, marked validated
AAAGCGUUCUCGGCGGCAGCGCAACAACUAGAACCGUGAGAACGCGUCCAGCAACCGCGACCACGACGACGUCACCUCGGGCACGCCCAAGGAGAAGAAAGCCCAGACCUCUAAGAAGAAGCAGAGCUCCAUGGCCAAGGCGUAGCGGCAGGCGUCCCCCGCAGACCUCCCCAUCGACCCCAGCGAGCCCUCCUACUGGGAGAUGAUCCGCUGCGACAACGAAUGCCCCAUCGAGUGGUUCCGCUUCUCGUGUGUGAGUCUCAACCAUAAACCAAAGCGCAAGUGGUACUGUUCCAGAUGCCGGGGAAAGAACGAUGGGCAAAGCCCUUGAGAAGUCCAGAAAAAAAACAGGGCUUAUAACAGGUAGUUUGGGGACAUGCGUCUAAUAGUGAGGAGAACAAAAUAAGCCAGUGUGUUGAUUACAUUGCCACCUUUGCUGAGGUGCAGGAAGUGUAAAAUGUAUAUUUUUAAAGAAUGUUGUUAGAGGCCGGGCGCGGUGGCUCACGCCUGUAAUCCCAGCACUUUGGGAGGCCGAGGCGGUCGGAUCACGAGGUCAGGAGAUCGAGACCAUCCUGGCUAACACGGUGAAACCCCGUCUCUACUAAAAAUUCAAAAAAAAAAUUAGCUGGGCGUGGUGGCGGGCGCCUGUAGUCCCAGCUAUUCGGGAGGCUGAGGCAGGAGAAUGGCAUGAACCUGGGAGGUGGAGCUUGCAGUGAGCCAAGGUCGCGCCACUGCACUCCAGCCUGGGCGACAGAGCGAGACUCCAUCU